RNAcentral lists this transfer RNA (69 nucleotides) under Pangasianodon hypophthalmus (striped catfish). RNAcentral's name for it is "tRNA-Glu". Lineage: Eukaryota; Metazoa; Chordata; Actinopteri; Siluriformes; Pangasiidae. The record is from RNAcentral.
UCCUUAAACUAGUGGUUAGGCCUCGGCGCUCUCAUGGCCACGGCCUGGGUUCGGUUCCCAGACAGGGAA